Molecule: long non-coding RNA, 279 nt
Filed under: Sorghum bicolor (sorghum)
Lineage: Eukaryota; Viridiplantae; Streptophyta; Magnoliopsida; Poales; Poaceae
Description: long non-coding RNA (SBIC_LNC007358)
Source: RNAcentral
CACUAAUCGACAAUUGAGUACCAUGGAGGUACACACCCCUAAUCCUUUUGUGCGUACAAACCUAAAGUACCUUCCUCCUUUAGUCGAGCGGAGUAUACUUCUUAGCUCCUAUAAAUUGUUCUGUUUUUUUCUAAACACAUAUGUUUUAAAAAAAUAAAUAGAACAUCUACCUAAUAAUUUAAGAUAGAAACGUAGAGAAGAGUAUAUGCUACGGCACACAAGAAAAAACCAUAAAGCUAACACGUGAAACCGCUUGAGCCUACACACAUACAUGUCCUU